AGUGAACGCUGGCGGUAGGCCUAACACAUGCAAGUCGAACGGCAGCACAGUAAGAGCUUGCUCUUACGGGUGGCGAGUGGCGGACGGGUGAGGAAUACAUCGGAAUCUACUUUUUCGUGGGGGAUAACGUAGGGAAACUUACGCUAAUACCGCAUACGACCUACGGGUGAAAGCAGUGGAUCUUCGGACCUUUCGCGAUUGAAUGAGCCGAUGUCGGAUUAGCUAGUUGGCGGGGUAAAGGCCCACCAAGGCGACGAUCCGUAGCUGGUCUGAGAGGAUGAUCAGCCACACUGGAACUGAGACACGGUCCAGACUCCUACGGGAGGCAGCAGUGGGGAAUAUUGGACAAUGGGCGCAAGCCUGAUCCAGCAAUACCGCGUGGGUGAAGAAGGCCUUCGGGUUGUAAAGCCCUUUUGUUGGGAAAGAAAAGCAGCAGGUUAAUACCCCGCUGUUCUGACGGUACCCAAAGAAUAAGCACCGGCUAACUUCGUG
RNAcentral lists this ribosomal RNA (492 nucleotides) under uncultured bacterium. RNAcentral describes it as "partial 16S ribosomal RNA". It matches the Rfam family "Bacterial small subunit ribosomal RNA", at positions 29 to 507 of the family's 1533-position model. The record is from RNAcentral.